Molecule: ribosomal RNA, 1111 nt
Filed under: human metagenome
Description: bacterial LSU rRNA
Rfam family: Bacterial large subunit ribosomal RNA
Source: RNAcentral
UGGACAGUAUAGAAGAGAGAAUGUUGGCAUGAGUAGCGUAAGGCGGGUGAGAAUCCUGCCCGCCGAAAAUCUAAGGUUUCCUGAGGAAGGUUCGUCCACUCAGGGUUAGUCGGGGCCUAAGCCGAGAGCGAACGCUGUAGGCGAUGGACAACUGGUAGAUAUUCCAGUACCACCGAAUGUCGUUAUAAGUGAAGUGGGGACACAGAAGGAUAGGUUGAGCGCACCGUUGGUAGAGUGCGUCCAAGCGUUAAGGGAGCUGAAGCAGGCAAAUCCGCAUCAGCAAUUCUGAGGCGUUACGGGGAGUCUAAAAAGACGGAAGCAACUGAUUUCAUACUGUCAAGAAAAGCCGCUAGCAAGACACUAGGUGCCCGUACCGCAAACCGACACAGGUAGAUGAGGAGAGAAUCCUAAGGCGAGCGAGAGAACUAUUGUUAAGGAACUCGGCAAAAUUACCCCGUAACUUCGGGAGAAGGGGUGCCUGCGAAGAGCAGGCCGCAGUGAAUAGGCCCAGGCGACUGUUUACCAAAAACACAGGUCUCUGCUAAAGCGAAAGCUGAAGUAUAGGGGCUGACGCCUGCCCGGUGCUGGAAGGUUAAGGGGACGUGUCAUCGCAAGAGAAGCACUGAACUUAAGCCCCAGUAAACGGCGGCCGUAACUAUAACGGUCCUAAGGUAGCGAAAUUCCUUGUCAGGUAAGUUCUGACCCGCACGAAAGGCGUAACGAUCUGGGCACUGUCUCAACAAUAGACUCGGUGAAAUUGUAGUACCGGUAAAGAUGCCGGUUACCCGCAGCAGGACGGAAAGACCCCAUGGAGCUUUACUGUAGCUUGAUAUUGAGUUUUGGCAUUGCAUGUACAGGAUAGGUGGGAGACAGAGAAGUUAGGACGCCAGUUUUAGCUGAGUCACCGUUGGGAUACCACCCUUGUAAUGUUGAAAUUCUAACCGUGCGCCGUAAUCCGGUGUCGGGACAGUGUCUGGUGGGCAGUUUGACUGGGGCGGUCGCCUCCUAAAGAGUAACGGAGGCGCCCAAAGGUUCCCUCAGAUUGGUUGGAAAUCAAUCGCAGAGUGUAAAGGUAUAAGGGAGCUUGACUGCGAGAGCUACAACUCGAGCA